Molecule: ribosomal RNA, 487 nt
Filed under: Meyerozyma sp.
Lineage: Eukaryota; Fungi; Ascomycota; Pichiomycetes; Serinales; Debaryomycetaceae
Description: LSU rRNA
Rfam family: Eukaryotic large subunit ribosomal RNA
Source: RNAcentral
UAGCGGCGAGUGAAGCGGCAAAAGCUCAAAUUUGAAAUCUGGCGCCUUCGGUGUCCGAGUUGUAAUUUGAAGAUUGUAACCUUGGGGUUGGCUCUUGUCUAUGUUUCUUGGAACAGGACGUCACAGAGGGUGAGAAUCCCGUGCGAUGAGAUGCCCAAUUCUAUGUAAGGUGCUUUCGAAGAGUCGAGUUGUUUGGGAAUGCAGCUCUAAGUGGGUGGUAAAUUCCAUCUAAAGCUAAAUAUUGGCGAGAGACCGAUAGCGAACAAGUACAGUGAUGGAAAGAUGAAAAGAACUUUGAAAAGAGAGUGAAAAAGUACGUGAAAUUGUUGAAAGGGAAGGGUUUGAGAUCAGACUCGAUAUUUUGUGAGCCUUGCCUUCGUGGCGGGGUGACCCGCAGCUUAUCGGGCCAGCAUCGGUUUGGGCGGUAGGAUAAUGGCGUAGGAAUGUGACUUUACUUCGGUGAAGUGUUAUAGCCUGCGUUGAUGCU